Molecule: ribosomal RNA, 491 nt
Filed under: Escherichia coli
Lineage: Bacteria; Pseudomonadati; Pseudomonadota; Gammaproteobacteria; Enterobacterales; Enterobacteriaceae
Description: bacterial SSU rRNA
Rfam family: Bacterial small subunit ribosomal RNA
Source: RNAcentral
CCUAACACAUGCAAGUCGAACGGUAACAGGAAAGCAGCUUGCUGCUUUGCUGACGAGUGGCGGACGGGUGAGUAAUGUCUGGGAAACUGCCUGAUGGAGGGGGAUAACUACUGGAAACGGUAGCUAAUACCGCAUAAUGUCGCAAGACGAGGAGGGGGGGACCUUCGGGCCUCUUGCCAUCGGAUGUGCCCAGAUGGGAUUAGCUAGUAGGUGGGGUAACGGCUCACCUAGGCGACGAUCCCUAGCUGGUCUGAGAGGAUGACCAGCCACACUGGAACUGAGACACGGUCCAGACUCCUACGGGAGGCAGCAGUGGGGAAUAUUGCACAAUGGGCGCAAGCCUGAUGCAGCCAUGCCGCGUGUAUGAAGAAGGCCUUCGGGUUGUAAAGUACUUUCAGCGGGGAGGAAGGGAGUAAAGUUAAUACCUCCGCUCAUUGACGUUACCCGCAGAAGAAGCACCGGCUAACUCCGUGCCAGCAGCCGCGGUAAAU